ACUCAAAUGAAUAGACGGGGGCUCACACAAGCGGUGGAGCAUGUGGCUCAAUUCGAAGCAACGCGAAGAACCUUAUCCUGGACUUGACAUGGUUGAAGUAAGAAGCGGAAACGCCUAUGACCGGUAUCCAAUCCGGAACGAUCACAGGUGCUGCAUGGCUGUCGUCAGCUCGUGCUGUGAAGUGUCGGGUUAAGUCCCAUAACGAGCGAAACCCCUAUCGUUAGUUGCCAGCGCGUCAUGGCGGGCACUCUAACGAGACUGCCGGUGUUAAACCGGAGGAAGGCGGGGAUGACGUCAAGUCCUCAUGGCCUUUAUGUCCAGGGCUGCACACGUGCUACAAUGCCGAUGACAAACCGAAGCAAGACAGUAAUGUGGAGCAAAUCGGAGAAAAAUCGGCCCAGUUCAGAUUGAGGGCUGCAACUCGCCCUCAUGAAGUUGGAAUCGCUAGUAAUCGCGGAUCAGCUAUGCCGCGGUGAAUGUGUUCCUGAGCCUUGCACACACCGCCCGU
RNAcentral lists this ribosomal RNA (508 nucleotides) under uncultured bacterium. RNAcentral's name for it is "partial 16S ribosomal RNA". It matches the Rfam family "Bacterial small subunit ribosomal RNA", at positions 899 to 1397 of the family's 1533-position model. The record is from RNAcentral.